Molecule: long non-coding RNA, 1053 nt
Filed under: Solanum lycopersicum (tomato)
Lineage: Eukaryota; Viridiplantae; Streptophyta; Magnoliopsida; Solanales; Solanaceae
Description: partial TCONS_00194667
Source: RNAcentral
UACCUCGCACGCAAUUAUUCAUCUUCGCGGGCACCAUCAGCGUCUCGAGAUGACGCGCUUCACAAUAGCAGCGAGUGCGUCACAAAUUCACACCUUGGACGCGUGAAUCGGGUCAUCUGCGGUUUCUUGUCGCCUUCCCCCUCUCUAACAUGUCCUUUAUCAGAUGAUACGAUGUGCAGCGGCAAGGACAACACACGUUUCUUCCUCUUGGCUCGAGAUUGUUUCAUGUCAAAGCUCAAGGACGAUGAGAUUCAUCUAGCCAUCUAUUCCCCCCUUCCCUUUUGAGAAUCUGUUGAAUUUUUUCAUAAAAAGUUGAUUCCAAUUGGAUGCUGGGUUUUUGGUUUUCAAAUUUUGAAAGAAUCACAGGGUUGAUUGGGGAUUUCACAAGAAAUUUGUAACCCUAAUCCCGCUCUUAUAUAAGAUCGUUUUCUCAAGCCUUAGAGGGGAGAUUUUUUUUUUGACGAUAAAAAAGGGGCAGCCACAGAAGAUUUUUGAAGAAGCUAAAAAAUAUAUUGAGGAAGAUUUUCUGGGAAAUUUGUGGGAGAUUUUCUUUAUGAAAAUAGGGGAAAUCUUGAGAGUUUUUGCCAGUGUUAAUGAGAAGAAUAUAGUUGACUCCAAAAUUUAUCGAAUAUAUUUUAGUCUGGACUUUUGCUCACUCGAAUUCGUCUAGUUGAUGUCUUCUUGAAGUGGUUCACUUGCGUGGAAAUCCUUUCCUCUUUCAAGAUCGUUGCUGCCUUCAUUUCGCUGCAUCCUAAAAGAACAAGCCCGUUUCAGAGUGGUCGUAUAGGCCCCGAGUUAAAAGAAUUUGGAGCAAAUGAAAGAGUUGAAGAAGUGGGGCCAAGAAACCCAUAUUAUUUUAUUCUUUUCUUUAUAUUUUGUAAUUUUUGGGCCUAAGCCCUUGUUGUAUUUCCUUUUGUGUUUAGUUUUUUAUUUAUUUAGUGAACAUGUGGAAAUGGGCCAAAAUCCCAAAACAGAUGGGUCCAAGUUUCGUUCAAGGCGGAUAGAACUCGGGUUGGACCCAAUCUCUCUCUCCCUCUCUCUGUCUCUGUCUCU